GGGAUGGGUAGGGGAGCGUCGUGUGCCGGGUGAAGCAGCCGCGGAAGCGAGUUGUGGACGGUUCACGAGUGAGAAUGCAGGCAUGAGUAGCGAUACACACGUGAGAAACGUGUGCGCCGAUUGACUAAGGGUUCCUGGGUCAAGCUGAUCUGCCCAGGGUAAGUCGGGACCUAAGGCGAGGCCGACAGGCGUAGUCGAUGGACAACCGGUUGAUAUUCCGGUACCCGCUUUGAAACGCCCAGUACUGAAUCAGGCGAUGCUAAGUCCGUGAAGCCGGCCCGAUCUCUUCGGAGUUGAGGGUAGUGGUGGAGCCGAUGAACCAGACUUGUAGUAGGUAAGCGAUGGGGUGACGCAGGAAGGUAGUCCAGCCCGGGCGGUGGUUGUCCCGGGGUAAGGGUGUAGGCCGUGUGGUAGGUAAAUCCGUCACACGUUAAGGCUGAGACCUGAUGCCGAGCCGAUUGUGGUGAAGUGGAUGAUCCUAUGCUGUCGAGAAAAGCCUCUAGCGAGUUUCAUGGCGGCCCGUACCCUAAACCAACUCAGGUAGUCAGGUAGAGAAUACCGAGGCGUUCGGGUGAACUAUGGUUAAGGAACUCGGCAAAAUGCCCCCGUAACUUCGGGAGAAGGGGGGCCAUCACUGGUGAUCCGAUUUACUCGGUGAGCUGGGGGUGGCCGCAGAGACCAGCGAGAAGCGACUGUUUACUAAAAACACAGGUCCGUGCGAAGCCGUAAGGCGAUGUAUACGGACUGACGCCUGCCCGGUGCUGGAACGUUAAGGGGACCGGUUAGUGCACUUUCGGGUGUGCGAAGCUGAGAACUUAAGCGCCAGUAAACGGCGGUGGUAACUAUAACCAUCCUAAGGUAGCGAAAUUCCUUGUCGGGUAAGUUCCGACCUGCACGAAUGGCGUAACGACUUCUCGACUGUCUCAACCAUAGGCCCGGUGAAAUUGCACUACGAGUAAAGAUGCUCGUUUCGCGCAGCAGGACGGAAAGACCCCGGGACCUUUACUAUAGUUUGAUAUUGGUGUUCGGUUCGGCUUGUGUAGGAUAGGUGGGAGACUUUGAAGCGGCCACGCCAGUGGUUGUGGAGUCGCCGUUGAAAUACCACUCUGGUCGUGCUGGAUGUCUAACCUGGGUCCGUGAUCCGGAUCAGGGACAGUGUCUGAUGGGUAGUUUAACUGGGGCGGUUGCCUCCUAAAGAGUAACGGAGGCGCCCAAAGGUUCCCUCAGCCUGGUUGGCAAUCAGGUGUUGAGUGUAAGUGCACAAGGGAGCUUGACUGUGAGACCGACGGGUCGAGCAGGGACGAAAGUCGGGACUAGUGAUCCGGCAGUGGCUUGUGGAAGCGCUGUCGCUCAACGGAUAAAAGGUACCCCGGGGAUAACAGGCUGAUCUUCCCCAAGAGUCCAUAUCGACGGGAUGGUUUGGCACCUCGAUGUCGGCUCGUCGCAUCCUGGGGCUGGAGUCGGUCCCAAGGGUUGGGCUGUUCGCCCAUUAAAGCGGUACGCGAGCUGGGUUUAGAACGUCGUGAGACAGUUCGGUCCCUAUCCGCUGUGCGCGUAGGAAUAUUGAGAAGGGCUGUCCCUAGUACGAGAGGACCGGGACGGACGAACCUCUGGUGUGCCAGUUGUCCUGCCAAGGGCAUGGCUGGUUGGCUACGUUCGGAAAGGAUAACCGCUGAAAGCAUCUAAGCGGGAAGCCUGCUUCGAGAUGAGUGUUCCCACCACCUUGA
This 1727-nucleotide ribosomal RNA is filed under the name Streptomyces sp. NRRL WC-3549. RNAcentral describes it as "bacterial LSU rRNA". It matches the Rfam family "Bacterial large subunit ribosomal RNA", at positions 1221 to 2823 of the family's 2925-position model. Lineage: Bacteria; Bacillati; Actinomycetota; Actinomycetes; Kitasatosporales; Streptomycetaceae. The record is from RNAcentral.